GCGCAUUUAGUGUAGUGGUAUCAUAGUAUCCUCCCACGGUAUUGACCAGGGCGCAAUUCCCCGAAUGCGCA
Molecule: transfer RNA, 71 nt
Filed under: Ipomoea nil (Japanese morning glory)
Lineage: Eukaryota; Viridiplantae; Streptophyta; Magnoliopsida; Solanales; Convolvulaceae
Rfam family: tRNA
About the family: Transfer RNA (tRNA) molecules are approximately 80 nucleotides in length. Their secondary structure includes four short double-helical elements and three loops (D, anti-codon, and T loops). Further hydrogen bonds mediate the characteristic L-shaped molecular structure. tRNAs have two regions of fundamental functional importance: the anti-codon, which is responsible for specific mRNA codon recognition, and the 3' end, to which the tRNAs corresponding amino acid is attached (by aminoacyl-tRNA synthetases). tRNAs cope with the degeneracy of the genetic code in two manners: having more than one tRNA (with a specific anti-codon) for a particular amino acid; and 'wobble' base-pairing, i.e. permitting non-standard base-pairing at the 3rd anti-codon position.
Source: Rfam by way of RNAcentral